RNAcentral lists this transfer RNA (85 nucleotides) under Alphaproteobacteria bacterium 33-17. RNAcentral describes it as "tRNA-Leu". It matches the Rfam family "tRNA". From Rfam's summary of the family: Transfer RNA (tRNA) molecules are approximately 80 nucleotides in length. Their secondary structure includes four short double-helical elements and three loops (D, anti-codon, and T loops). Lineage: Bacteria; Pseudomonadati; Pseudomonadota; Alphaproteobacteria. RNAcentral also lists the same sequence under 2 other names. The record is from RNAcentral.
GCGGAUGUGGCGGAACUGGUAGACGCGCCAGAUUUAGGUUCUGGUAACGAAAGUUGUGGGGGUUCAAGUCCCUUCAUCCGCACCA